This 377-nucleotide ribosomal RNA is filed under the name uncultured Glomeromycotina. RNAcentral's name for it is "SSU rRNA". It matches the Rfam family "Eukaryotic small subunit ribosomal RNA", at positions 569 to 952 of the family's 1831-position model. The record is from RNAcentral. Lineage: Eukaryota; Fungi; Glomeromycota.
AGCAGCCGCGGUAAUUCCAGCUCCAAUAGCGUAUAUUAAAGUUGUUGCAGUUAAAAAGCUCGUAGUUGAAUUUCGGGAUCAAUUAAUUGGUCGUGCCUCUGGUACGCACUGGUUUUAUUGGUUUCUCCCUUCUGACGAACCACGAUGUCAUUAAUUUGGUGUCGUGGAGAAUCAGGACUGUUACUUUGAAAAAUUGAGUGUUUAAAGCAGGCUAACGCUUGAAUACAUUAGCAUGGAAUAAUGAAAUAGGACGUUUGAUCCUAUUUUGUUGGUUUCUAGGAUCGACGUAAUGAUUAAUAGGGAUAGUUGGGGGCAUUAGUAUUCAAUUGUCAGAGGUGAAAUUCUUGGAUUUAUUGAAGACUAACUACUGCGAAAGC